This 496-nucleotide ribosomal RNA is filed under the name uncultured bacterium. RNAcentral's name for it is "partial 16S ribosomal RNA". It matches the Rfam family "Bacterial small subunit ribosomal RNA", at positions 28 to 506 of the family's 1533-position model. The record is from RNAcentral.
GAUGAACGCUGGCGGCGUGCCUAAUACAUGCAAGUCGAGCGAACAGACGAGGAGCUUGCUCCUCUGACGUUAGCGGCGGACGGGUGAGUAACACGUGGAUAACCUACCUAUAAGACUGGGAUAACUUCGGGAAACCGGAGCUAAUACCGGAUAAUAUAUUGAACCGCAUGGUUCAAUAGUGAAAGACGGUUUUGCUGUCACUUAUAGAUGGAUCCGCGCCGCAUUAGCUAGUUGGUAAGGUAACGGCUUACCAAGGCAACGAUGCGUAGCCGACCUGAGAGGGUGAUCGGCCACACUGGAACUGAGACACGGUCCAGACUCCUACGGGAGGCAGCAGUAGGGAAUCUUCCGCAAUGGGCGAAAGCCUAACGGAGCAACGCCGCGUGAGUGAUGAAGGUCUUCGGAUCGUAAAACUCUGUUAUUAGGGAAGAACAAAUGUGUAAGUAACUAUGCACGUCUUGACGGUACCUAAUCAGAAAGCCACGGCUAACUACGU